CAAGUACUCCCUCCGUUCGGAAUUACUUGUCUCGGAAAUAAAUGUAUCUAGUUCUAGAUACAUUUAUUUCCGAGACAAGUAAUUCCGAACGGAGGGAGUAGAGU
Non-coding RNA from Triticum aestivum (bread wheat), 104 nucleotides. NCBI's taxonomy places the organism in Eukaryota, Viridiplantae, Streptophyta, Magnoliopsida, Poales, Poaceae. The record is from Rfam.